This 404-nucleotide ribosomal RNA is filed under the name Pseudomonas sp. RNAcentral's name for it is "partial 16S ribosomal RNA". It matches the Rfam family "Bacterial small subunit ribosomal RNA", at positions 355 to 776 of the family's 1533-position model. Lineage: Bacteria; Pseudomonadati; Pseudomonadota; Gammaproteobacteria; Pseudomonadales; Pseudomonadaceae. The record is from RNAcentral. RNAcentral also lists the same sequence under 2 other names.
UGGGGAAUAUUGGACAAUGGGCGCAAGCCUGAUCCAGCCAUGCCGCGUGAGUGAUGAAGGCCCUAGGGUUGUAAAGCUCUUUCACCGGUGAAGAUAAUGACGGUAACCGGAGAAGAAGCCCCGGCUAACCUCGUGCCAGCAGCCGCGGUAAUACGAAGGGGGCUAGCGUUGUUCGGAUUUACUGGGCGUAAAGCGCACGUAGGCGGACUUUUAAGUCAGGGGUGAAAUCCCGGGGCUCAACCCCGGAACUGCCUUUGAUACUGGAAGUCUUGAGUAUGGUAGAGGUGAGUGGAAUUCCGAGUGUAGAGGUGAAAUUCGUAGAUAUUCGGAGGAACACCAGUGGCGAAGGCGGCUCACUGGACCAUUACUGACGCUGAGGUGCGAAAGCGUGGGGAGCAAACAGG